CAAUUAUGGCAGCUUCAUCAUUUCUCAUACGGUUCUUGCGUUUCUUGCUAAAAUUCACCUGGAAAUAGGAACAUGAAUACAGGAUGUGAACCUUGGUCUACUACAUUAAGAGAAGAACAGACUGAAGGUGUCUGAGAAUAGGAUGCUGACCUGGAUCUAAAAGUUGCACAAGGAAUACAGAAUAGCAAUAUCUCACCUUGGCAUAACAGACAGCCCUGCCCUUUGUCUCGCUGCAAUCUCCUCUCCAAG
Long non-coding RNA from Cryptotermes secundus, 249 nucleotides. RefSeq lists it as uncharacterized. Lineage: Eukaryota; Metazoa; Arthropoda; Insecta; Blattodea; Kalotermitidae. The record is from RefSeq and is a predicted model, not a curated record. The transcript has 3 exons.